Long non-coding RNA from Astatotilapia calliptera (eastern happy), 1347 nucleotides. The record is from Ensembl. NCBI's taxonomy places the organism in Eukaryota, Metazoa, Chordata, Actinopteri, Cichliformes, Cichlidae.
GAGAAAGUCAAGCAGGCCAACUCUACCUACGUAUGGCUGGGACUGCGCUACACCUGCACUCUAGGUUUCUGGUUCUGGGUCACUGAUGAGGUAGUUGAAUAUAAAAACUGGGACUCUGACGGAACGACUGAUGGCUGUGACAUGUCUGGAGCCAUGAAUAGAGAACGCCCACAUAAGUGGUCCAAACAAGCUGAUAAUAAAAUGUUUAAUUUCAUCUGUUCUAAGAAGUAAAAUCCUCUCUGAUUCUUGAUCAAAAGGGUUUGCAUUUAUUUACUUUGUGUUUGGGGUGUGUUGAUUUUUAAAAAGUUUCUUCAAAAGCAUUCUGGGAAAUGUGGAUUCAAGUAGUUUUGGUGGGAGUUUGUAUGGUUUGUAUUUUGUACCUCACAAUAUCUAAAGCUGCUUGAGGUGACUGUUGUUGUAAUUUUUUGCUUGGUAAGUAAAAAUGGAUUGAAUCAUAUUUUUAUAUUUUUAUAAAAUAUUGCUGGUAGUUUUUUCUUUGUUUGUUUUUAAAAAUAUAAUUUUAGACUUCAAAAUGUUAACUUUUUCACUUCUUUUACUUCAAUGUCAUUUUUAAUAAUUCAUCUUGGCACUAGCAGCUCAAACCCCAAAUUACUGUAUUGAUUCAGUAAUAAUUGAGGUAAAACCAUAAUUACAGUUGAGAAGCUGUAAUUGUGAUUUACUCGACAUGAAAGAAAAGCUAAAUAUCAAAUUAAUAUAGAUUAAGUAGCUUAAAAGAUCCAAUUUCAUAAGGACUUCCAUUUCUACAUGGAAACGGUUUUAUGUAAAUGCUAUAAUGUAUAAUAUUAUGAAGUUUAAUAUUAGUUAGUAUAUGUUGCAUUAAGGUAAAAUCCCAAGGUAAAGUUCCUCAUCCUUGUACAGUGCACAGUGGUACCUCACACCUGCUGCUUAUUGUCUUCAUCAGCUCACUGGUAUUUAAGAACCAGCUGAUUGCACCAGACUGUGUGCAUGAGUGAUGAGCAGGCUCUUUCUUCUUUUUGUUCUCUUUCAAAUUGCAGUUUUUCUGCUGUGAGUAGUUCAGACUGAGUCUGGUAAAACAAGGCUUUGUGAAGCUCUGAACCUUGUUGAACCACUGUGUGAAAAGUUGAUUGAAGCUUCAGUUAUUACACUCUUGGGGGACAUCUACUGGUGACAGUAGUUGUUGUACAGCCAAAUGAAGCCUUACAAAUGUGAUUGAAAUAUUUUAUAAAAUUGUAAGAAACAGAAACUUGCAAACAUUAUUCAAAUGUCCUGAUUUCAUUUGAUAUGUCUUUGGUGUUUGUAUCUCAUUUUAAAUACUGCCUGAAUAUGUUAAUCUAUAAAAUAAUGAGGAAUAAAACAUGUUAAAAA